RNAcentral lists this ribosomal RNA (141 nucleotides) under uncultured eukaryote. RNAcentral's name for it is "partial 18S ribosomal RNA". It matches the Rfam family "Eukaryotic small subunit ribosomal RNA", at positions 1299 to 1458 of the family's 1831-position model. The record is from RNAcentral.
UGGUGGAGUGAUUUGUCUGGUUAAUUCCGUUAACGAACGAGACCGCUACCUACUAUUUAAGCUAAUGAGUGAUUUUCACUGAUUAAGUUUCUUUAGAGGGACGUGCAUCCUAUUCGAUGCAGGAAGAUAGCGGCAAUAACA